RNAcentral lists this long non-coding RNA (6705 nucleotides) under Theobroma cacao (cacao). Its description in RNAcentral is "long non-coding RNA (TCAC_LNC004172)". Lineage: Eukaryota; Viridiplantae; Streptophyta; Magnoliopsida; Malvales; Malvaceae. The record is from RNAcentral.
UAAGUACCGAUAGUUGGAAAGAUGACAAGAUUGAUGACUACAUAAAAAUGGUGCAUGACAUAUAUGUCGAAAACCUCCCUGAGCCUCAAAAGCCUAUUGUAUCAGAAGACACCACUAACAGUUCAAGAUCAUAAAAUAUGUUAGGAUGCCUCUCUUUUUAUUUUUUUGUUAAGUUUCGAGUCCGAUUUACACCCAUGUAAAAGCAACAAUAAGCCUAAUUGAAUCUUUACUUUUGCCUUAGAAAAGCAUUCUUGAUCUCAUUGUAUCAUAUUGCUAAUUCUCUAGCACUUCUCUCAUCAAGUUCAAUGCGCAAUAGCAUAUUGAUUUUUUGGGUGUAUGAGUUGUUUAUUCUAUCAUUGCCUCACAUUGAGAACCAUAUCUCUACUUAAGUUCGAGUUUUUUAAGGUAGGAUUUGGAAGUUUUAGGCCUGUACAUGGGAGUGAUUCAUGGCAGGUUUACAGUAGAAGCAACUAUUAAGAAUGUGCAUAGCAGUAGAGUCCAAGCACAGUUUCCUUUACCUUCACUUCUUCAACUUCUGAUAAUUUAAGAUAGUCUUUGCAUAAAUUCUUCUUCAUCUGCCUGACCUAGAUAACCCGGUCACCGGAUACAAUUCCAGCACACACGUUCUGACUUCAUUCCAACAGGAAUUUACUUGCUAUGCAAGUCCAAGUUUUCUUUGACAAACCCCAGGGAAUAUGUUAUUCAUGAAACAGAUAAGACAGUCUGCAGAAGCUUGUUGUUGGAAUAGAAAAUGAGGAGCAUUGUUCCAGGUAAUUGAAUGCGAGACAAUGACUUUGUAUUAAUCAAAUAAGACUUUAAGACAAAGGAAUUGUUAGUUCAAGCUACAUGCAUAACCCAGAUUUUGUUUCUUCCCACUUGUUUUUUCAAGCUGUGAUUAAGCAUAUAAUCAUUAAAUUAAUCAUAGUCAAAGACAAGACAAAGAGGUUAGAAACAGUUCACAGUGUGUCAUCUGAUAUUAGGUUCACCACAUGACAGAUCAAAGCCAGAGAAGAUAUGAACCAUCAAAUUUAUUGCCAUCUUCAUCCACAUCAUUAAUGUAUAUGAAUUUCAUAGUAUUUUCUUUCUUUUCAAGAAAAACAAAUAAAGAUAAAGAUGUCAAUAAGUAAGGUAUUAUUAUUUUUUAAUAUUAUAAUCUGAAUUUUAGAGUACCUAACUUAUAUGAAUACUUAAUUAAAUGUUUAAAUUAUUAUCCAAACCCGUGAAUGGAUAACAAUUUUAUUACUCAAAUCUUAUUCAAACUCAAUUAUGAAAUAUCUUAAUCUUAUUUAUUCAGAUUAUACAAUGUAAUUAAUAUCCUUAAAAAAGAUUGGAGACUGUUGAACAAUUCUUCCCAUUAAAAGAAACAAAGUUGACUUGGUUUGGUCACCAAGUCAUUAAAGCAAGUGGAGCUAUAAUUCUUUUUUAACUUUACCACAUUAAAUAUGUGUCACAUCCCCACUAAGCAAAAGGAAAAAUGGAAGUUGGAAAGAAAGCUGUACUUUCAUACUUUCAUAAAUAAAGGCACGCAGGAUACGAAGGCAGAUGCAGUGCUUGUGCCUUCCUCCUCUUUUUGGUAAUUAAAGAAAAUAAGAAAAAUAAAUAGAAAAGGAAAACCAAUAAUAGGAGUAAAUAAUAUCAAUUUUUGAAGAUAAAAUAUUUAUACUCUAUUUAGUUAUAUAAUUAAAUGAUAUAUCCGUUUGUAAUUAGUUAAUUUUAAUUAUUAAUGUGAUAUAUUAGUAUAGUAAAUUGAUAAUUAGAAUAAACAUUUGACUGGUUUGAUUGAAUCAAUUUUAAAUUUUUAAAAAUUAAAUUAAUUAAAAUUUUUAAUAAAUCGAUAUAAUAAAAAAAAGAAACCAAACCCGAUUUUCUUAAUUAUAAGUCUUGGACAAUGAAAAUCGAUUCUCUCAAUCGAUUUAUAUUCUUUUUUAGCAAAAAAGAAAAAAAUUAAAGGAGAACGAAAUUAUUUAAUUUAUCUUUUACUAAACUUUGCGAAAAUAGCUCUGCAGAGGGACCCCCGACAAACCACGUGUCAAUCCCUAAAACUCUUGCUAAAGUUUCUUGGAGCUCGCAUUUGUUUAGUUAUAUAAUUUAUUUUGAACCUGCAUUUUGUUUGGUUCUUGCAGAUUCUUAAACUCUUGUUAAAGUUUGUUCCACGCUUCCUUUACUGAUUCUACUAAAUAUAGUCUCAAACAUAGUUGCAUAAAUGAAGGAUAAAGUUUUAUAUCGCUUUGCUAUCUCUUCAGAGUACUGUUGAAUUUGAGUAAUUAUUGUAUUAUCUCAACGCAGGCUGCUCUUCCUCAUAUUCUAUGGCAUUUCAGAGGUUAUAUCCUUUGAGAUAGGCCCCCAUCUUGAUAGCCCAGAUUGAGUAAUUUUUACCAUCAAAGAUGGGUGGAGAUAAUAAAGAUUAGUAUUGUAAUUGUAAUAUUUUUGUAAUAGCAGUAGUUAGGUACUUUAGUGUCUUUUAUGUAAAUAUUAUAACAUUUGGCACUAGCAUAUAAAUACCAUAUUAUUGUAAAUAUUUAUAUAGAUGAUGAAAUAGAAUAACUUUUAAGCUCCUUUUCCCAAAUACUUUUAAGCCACCGUACUCUGUCAGGAGGUGGGUGAGGUACUGUAGGAGUUACUUGUUGCUGAAAAGUUGAGAAAUUUAAAGGAUGGUGGCUUGACUUAAGAUGUAUGGUGAGUUUACUAGUAUUUCAGGUCCAACUGAGAUCUUGCUCUCGCAAGGACUCUGAUACCAUGUUUAUAAUAUCAAGCAAGAACAUUAGCCUCUGUUAAAGGUCAAAAGAACAGAGGCAAGUAAGGAACUUAAUGAAAUUUUUAUAUAUUCUGCUAUGUCUACGUACACGAAAAUGACAGCUUAUAUAUGACCAACAAGAACACUUGUAUGAACUUAAUUACCAAAUGUAUAUAGAUAAACAUCAACAUACAUACAGACUUAUACGGACACCAGACACUAAGUAGCUUGCUAUAAGCUGAUUUAGUUUACAUCAAAAUAGGACAAGUGUUACAAGCCGUGCAGGUGUUACUCUUAACAUUUCCAAGCUUCUUCUAUUUUACACAUGUACAAAACACUUGUCAACCCGUCUUGAACUUUCUUUCACAUUUCACAGCUUUAAGGUAAAAAUCUGUGUUGGGUACUUACUAAAAACACAAACAAACUGAAAACUGUUACUGGGUGUUUUUUUUUUUGUUUUUGGUUUUGGUUGGUUACCAAGAAAAACACAAGAGGAAGUGUAUGGUUUAUAUAAUAAACUCUAUCCUACUAAUCCAAAUAGAUGUGGACUUGGCUUUGUAAAGGGUAGUGUUCUUUCGUCGUUUUUGUUUGUUUUUCUUGGAAACGGACGCCACAAGGAAAAAACUUGAGGUCGUGGUUUAAAUUUGAAGCCUUGUUUUCUUCUGUUUUCUUUGUAUUUAAUUCCAGACACAAGAGUUAUUGGCUUUUGGUGAUUGGUUUUGGUUUUGGUUUUUCAAUCUUCUCUCAUAUUGGCCCUUUAUUGGUAGGAGUUGAUAGCUUUGAUUUAUACUAGGAUUUUAGCUUGAGGUUUUUCUCUGUUUGGUGACUGAGAAACUUGCCGGAAAGAGAAGGAAUUUGAUAAUUUGAAGUCUUUGCAUUUGUUCCUUAUUUUGUUUUCAGUGAAACAGGAAAACUAUAAUCUUUUCUUUUUUCAGUUUUCUUGUAGUCAGGUGUUGAUACAAGAUGUCAACUUGCAGUUUCUCAGAAACUGAAGAAGUUUCUUACAUAAUCAAAUGAUUCCUACUGAAAAAGUUCUGUUUUUGCUGCGUUCAGGGGUAAUCUCCAUUUGAGUUUGAUUAAAAACUUGCCUUGACUUUGACCAUUGAUUAAUGGAGAGUUCUGGAAGUGGUUCUUUCUUGAGGAACAGAAGAUUAGGGAGCUUCCUUGAUAGAAUUCUGAUCCAAAUGUGAGAGAAACUCAGAAAGUUUCGAGCAAAGGAGGAGCAAGACAGAGGCCUAAGACUGAUGAUGCUUUUGUUGAUGAUGACGGAUGGAUUUGUUCAUUGAUAUCUUGUGUAAGGAUUGUUACAUGUUUCCUGACAAUGAUGGUCACAACAUUCAUUUGGGCAUUAAUCAUGCUCCUGCUCCUUCCUUGGCCUUCCCAGCGAAUCAGGCAAGGAAAUAUUUAUGGCCAUGUGACUGGUAGAUUGCUGGUAAGGUUUGUUUGAUUCCUUGUUUCAUUUUAAUAUGGUCAUGGCAUUGGUUUUUUUACUUUCUGGUGAUAUGAUAAGGUGGAAAUGGUAAGUAUUGCUGCACUAAAAGGAAAGUUGAGGAAAAGGAAAGAGAGAGAGAAACCUUAUCAUUUCAGAUACUUGAGACAUUUGAAGUAAGGCAGCCAAGUGGCUGAAGUAGAUGUUGUUGAUAAUGAUUUUUGUUUUCUUGGGGAUUUAAAUGAUAAAAACAAAGCAACAGUUUUUGUUAUGAGUGACCUGGUAAAACAAUCGAACAGUGCAUCAUUCAAGUCAUUUCUUGCCCUUUGAAUGUAUUUCUUAAGGCUGUUCCCUUUGACAUUCAUUUAUUUGAGGAAGAUGGUCUUGAUCUGUGAGAUGAUGAUUUUUCUGAUUACAAAUAUAGGUUAUUGAUUGUCCCCAAAUUUCUGUAUUUAUUUCUUUGAUUAGAACUGAGAGUUCACCACUUGUCAUUGGAAUUUAUGAGAGCUCAUAUAGAAAGUGUACAAUAAAUUGGUGUAUCUUUGAUGCCCAAGACAAGAAUGUUCUUUCUUUUCAGCUGUGUGGACAAGUCUGAGCAUGUACUCUAGCAAAUUUUGAUAUGUGGCCACAAGCUGUUAUAAGAUCUUGGUAUAUAGCUUCUAGCAGAGUCAUCCUAUUGGAAUUUGCUGGUGUGGGUCCUUUAUUCCUUUCUUUUCAUUUUUGUUUCUAGUUGGGGGGGUGGGGGUGGUAUUGGGACUUGGAGGAUGGAGGCUGGGGAUAGGACAGGUGGGACACAUGUGAUAGCAUUUGCAAAACAAAAUGAAAGGAUCAGAUAGGGUCCUAAUGAAGAGAAACUAUAUGUUUGGCAUUUAAUGUGCCUCAGGUUGUGAACUUCUAUAGUCAACUUGUCUCAGGAAAAAACUGCAGUCUGCCCUCCUUGUUCAAUUCUGUUUAAAUUGAGGAAACAGAUGAUAUCCUGUAGUGACUGUGUACAUAACACCCUACUUGCCUUCUUGCUCCCUGCUGAAUUAUGAUCUACUUGAACUGGUUGCAUUAUUGAAUGACAAAUAGUUUUAAUCACAAGACAUUAGGAAAGAUGUAUAAAUUAAUGAUCUCUAUGUUUACAAGUCCCCAAUUGAGCUUUAAUGAAAUCAAAGUGGUCCAUGAUCAAUAUCUUUGAGGACAUAGCAAGAGAUGAACAUUAGUUUAAACAGCUUGGCAGCUUCAUACAAGUUUUUACUGCCUCUAUAUUGACUGAUUUCACUGUUUACAGAGAAAGACGUAAUUAGAAAAUGCUACUCUUUGAUGCUUAAGAACUCAAAUCUUUAAGCAAGAUGCACAGUCUUAUUAUGUUUUUGUAAAUUUACAUGAAGGUUAUUCUAGAAAAUCUCAUAUAUACAUUAAAAAGUGAAUUAUUUCUACUAUUCGAAAAUUUCUAAUAUUGAUUACUAUUUGCAACGAUUGAUUGCAGAUGUGGAUCUUAGGAAAUCCUAUAAAGAUUGAAGGAACAGAGUUCUCCAAUGAGAGAGCCAUUUAUAUCAGUAAUCAUGCAUCUCCCAUAGACAUUUUCCUCAUUAUGUGGUCCACUCCAACAGGAACUGUUGGCAUUGCAAAGAAAGAGGUGCAUUUUCUCUGUGUCUCACCCUUUUUGCUUUUUGUGGCUCAUUAGUGGUUUAAGCUUAGGAGAUUCAGUUUCACAUAUGAAAUGUUUGUUUUAUGCAGAUCAUUUGGUAUCCCCUAUUUGGACAACUAUAUGUUCUAGCGAAUCAUCUGCGCAUUGAUCGUUCUAGCCCUAGUACAGCCAUUCAGUCCAUGAAAGAGGUAUCCUUCCCUACCCUAUAUCAUCUAUUAUGCAUUUUUGUUAGGGUUACUAGCUAAUGUUUUUCUCUUGCUCAGGCAAUUCAGGCCGUAAUAAAACACAAUCUAUCUUUGAUUAUUUUUCCUGAGGGCACAAGGUCCAAAAAUGGACGAUUGCUCCCCUUUAAAAAGGUAACACUCAAACCAUAUUUGCUUAUAAUCUUCUUCAAGUUUAUGAUGGAGAAGCAUUUUGUUGGAGGUAGAUCAUGCUUUUAUAUGUUAUCAUGAAUGUGAUGUGGUCAUCCCAUUGCUUAUUCCCUGUACUUCUUAGCACAGCAAUCUUCAGUAUUUCCUUUCCUGGUCUACAUUGCAGGGCUUUGUUCAUUUGGCCUUGCAGUCACACCUUCCAAUAGUUCCAAUAGUCCUGGCAGGUACUCAUCUAGCAUGGAGGAAAGGUAGCUUGCAUGUUCGACCGGCUCCUAUAUCUGUAAAAUAUCUCCCUCCGAUAAGUACCGGUAGUUGGAAAGAUGACAAGAUUGAUGACUACAUAAAAAUGGUGCAUGACAUAUAUGUCGAAAGCCUCCCUGAGCCUCAAAAGCCUAUUGUAUCAGAAGACACCACUAACAGUUCAUGAUCAUAAAAUAUGUUAGGAUACCUCUCUUUUUUUAUUUUUUUGUUAAGUUUCCAGUCCGAUUUACGCCCAUGUAAAAGCAACAAUAAGCGUAAUUGAAUCUUUACUUUUGCC